CUAUGCCCUCUGGAACAUCCAUGGCUUGUCCGCAUGCUUCUGGUAUAGCCGCACUCUUGAAAGGUGCACACCCUGAUUGGAGUGCUGCUGCUAUAAGGUCUGCCUUGGUGACUACUGCAAAUCCAUUGGACAACACUGUGAAACCAAUCAGAGACAAUGGUGAUGACAAUUUGUCUUUUGCUUCACCUUUAGCCAUGGGAGCAGGCCAAAUUGAUCCAAAUCAAGCACUUGAUCCAGGUUUGAUCUACGACGCAACCCCACAGGACUACGUGAAUCUUUUGUGCACCAUGAAUUUCACUCGGAG
This 304-nucleotide long non-coding RNA is filed under the name Theobroma cacao (cacao). RNAcentral's name for it is "long non-coding RNA (TCAC_LNC004678)". The record is from RNAcentral. Lineage: Eukaryota; Viridiplantae; Streptophyta; Magnoliopsida; Malvales; Malvaceae.